AUUGAACGCUGGCGGCAGGCCUAACACAUGCAAGUCGAACGAGUGGCGGACGGGUGAGUAAUGUCUGGGAAACUGCCUGAUGGAGGGGGAUAACUACCUGAAACGGUAGCUAAUACCGCAUACCAUCAGAUGUGCCCAGAUGGGAUUAGCUUGUUGGUGGGGUAACGGCACACCAAGGCGACGAUCCCUAGCUGGUCUGAGAGGAUGACAAGCCACACUGGAACUUCGACACGGUCGAGACUCCUACGGGAGGCAGCAGUGGUGAAUAUGGCGAAAUGGGCGCCAGCCUGAUGCAGCCAUGACGCGUGUAUGAAGAAGGCCUUCGGGUUGUAAAGUACAUGCAGCGGGGAGACGUUACCCGCAGAAGAGGCACCGGCUAACUCCGUGCCAGCGGCCGCGGUGAUUC
This 406-nucleotide ribosomal RNA is filed under the name uncultured bacterium. RNAcentral's name for it is "partial 16S ribosomal RNA". It matches the Rfam family "Bacterial small subunit ribosomal RNA", at positions 30 to 526 of the family's 1533-position model. The record is from RNAcentral.